CGAGAGGUAGUUUAGGCUU
RNAcentral lists this transfer RNA (19 nucleotides) under Pleurodeles waltl (Iberian ribbed newt). RNAcentral describes it as "partial tRNA-Pro". Lineage: Eukaryota; Metazoa; Chordata; Amphibia; Caudata; Salamandridae. The record is from RNAcentral.